GGCCUCGUGGCGCAACGGUAGCGUGUUCGACUCCAGAUCGAAAGGUUAUCCGUUCAACUCGGGUCGGGGUCA
Molecule: transfer RNA, 72 nt
Filed under: Immersiella caudata
Lineage: Eukaryota; Fungi; Ascomycota; Sordariomycetes; Sordariales; Lasiosphaeriaceae
Description: Cercophora caudata tRNA
Rfam family: tRNA
About the family: Transfer RNA (tRNA) molecules are approximately 80 nucleotides in length. Their secondary structure includes four short double-helical elements and three loops (D, anti-codon, and T loops).
Source: Rfam by way of RNAcentral